AUUGAACGCUGGCGGCAGGCUUAACACAUGCAAGUCGAGCGGUAGCACAGGGGAGCUUGCUCCCUGGGUGACGAGCGGCGGACGGGUGAGUAAUGUCUGGGAAACUGCCUGAUGGAGGGGGAUAACUACUGGAAACGGUAGCUAAUACCGCAUAACGUCGCAAGACCAAAGAGGGGGACAUUCGGGCCUCUUGCCAUCAGAUGUGCCCAGAUGGGAUUAGCUAGUAGGUGGGGUAAUGGCUCACCUAGGCGACGAUCCCUAGCUGGUCUGAGAGGAUGACCAGCCACACUGGAACUGAGACACGGUCCAGACUCCCACGGGAGGCAGCAGUGGGGAAUAUUGCACAAUGGGCGCAAGCCUGAUGCAGCCAUGCCGCGUGUGUGAAGAAGGCCUUCGGGUUGUAAAGCACUUUCAGCGGGGAGGAAGGUGGUGAGCUUAAUACGUUCAUCAAUUGACGUUACUCGCAGAAGAAGCACCGGCUAACUCCGUG
RNAcentral lists this ribosomal RNA (490 nucleotides) under uncultured bacterium. Its description in RNAcentral is "partial 16S ribosomal RNA". It matches the Rfam family "Bacterial small subunit ribosomal RNA", at positions 30 to 507 of the family's 1533-position model. The record is from RNAcentral.